Non-coding RNA from Caenorhabditis elegans, 150 nucleotides. The record is from Ensembl. Lineage: Eukaryota; Metazoa; Nematoda; Chromadorea; Rhabditida; Rhabditidae.
UUUGCAAUUGUACCGCAAAUUUGUCUUUUUGUGUUGUUUUUUUAUUCUUAAUAUAGAAAAAUGGCAUAAAUGAUCAAAUAUAUUUUUUUGUAUAUCAAAAGAAUUAAAAAAUCGUAUCGAACCCGAAAAAAGUACAUGUUCCUGAAAUUC